CUCUGCCCCUCCCCUGCUCAUGCUCUGUCUCUCAAUAAUAAAUAAACAUUUAAAAAAAUUUUUAAAAAAAGGAUAAAUUGAGUUCAGUGUCACUGCCAUGAAAAGUUGUCCACCCUAUGUUAUUAUGGAAAAAAGAGAUUGUAUAAUGGUUAUACAGUAAGAUUUCAGUUUUGUGAACCGAGGGGGAAAAAAUCCCUUAAAAUAUCCGCAGGAAUAUUCACCAACGAGUCCUGGUGGUGAUGUGGGUGGAAGGUAGCGAUAGGAUUGUGUCUGUGUUUAUGGGUUAGACAUUUCUGUAAGGUUUGAAUUUUUCACCAAGAAAGGGGAUUCCUUUCAUACACAGAAAAAUAAAUAAAGAUUUAAAAACAAAGGCAGUAGCAAUUCCAGGUCGCUGGGAGCUGGGUGGCCAGGUGAGCCUGAAGCUUCGUGGAGAAGGGCACCAUUGACAAUCUGGAGGACAAGCAGCCUUCAGAUCAGAGACUCGAGCCGCCUGCCCACAGGCACAUCCGACCCUGGGUUGAGUUUUGUUUGACCUGCGCAGCACUGACAAUUUUUAUAAAUUAGUCGUCGUUGCUUAAAAUAUAUGAUUUCGCACAAGAAGUAAGGAUUCCUGGCUUCUCCAGGAGCCUCACGGGGCCCACCUCCCCAGUGAGAGCUGCUUCCCGUCCCCAGCGGCCAAGUUCACUGUUGCGCAUUACCUGUCCCAGCUCCUUGGGCAUUGGCUUCCUUACCUGAGGCAGGCGUCGAAAUGGAGACAAUUCUCGGCACUCCUUGACGAGCGCUGCCCACUCCUCAACUCAGCUGGGUAUCGGCUCCAGGGGGCACACGUCAGGAAUUCCUCCCAUCAUUUAUCUGACACGCAUUUAUUCAAUUCUGUUUCUUCUAUGGAGCCCCUGCCCGUGUGAAAAGGAAUGAAAGGAAACCUCAUUAGAAGGGAGCCAGGAGGCCAGCAGGGGGAGCUCUCACGCCCAACAUUAGCUGUCAACUGCGGAGCCAAAGGGGAGGGAAGGAACUCGAGGAGCGGAUAGGUACUACUUUUACUUACCAUCCCAGCGGGAGGAAGGCACAUUUCUUCUUCCUCCAGCCACAGCCCAGCCAAGGACAGACAGUCACAGCUCAGCCACUGAGAAGCCACCAUACGUCAAGCUCCCCGUUUAUGACUCCCGACGCCCCACUUGCCUCUAUCAAAGAAUGGUCCUCUCCUUUGUUCGGGGACUUGCCUGCGGUUUUACCGUGGCAGCUGGCUCGUCUCAGAUUGUAAAUUCUCAGCGAUUCCCGAGCAAGCCCAUCCUUUGCUGGGAAAACAGCUGGCUGUGCCAGAUGAUGCCACAUGGGGGAGAAAAGAGUUGUGCGCUUCACUCAGCCUUGCCCAAACUGCAAAACGUCCAAGAAGGCAGCUGGAAGGAGCCUGGGACAGCUGCCACGUGAGCCAGAUGGCUACACCCGCUUCCACUCCCUGCUCUGACAAAGGCCUUCCCAACCGGACAUUCGGAUUCCCGCGUGGUCGGCUUCAGCCCGCCUCCCCCCCCCACCCAUCGUCAUCCACUUUGUGUUGUCGUCAAGCUCACUUUGUCCUCGUGCCACCCAACUCUGCUGGUCUCUUUGGCAAAGGUCUCUUCUCUAUGCGUUUCUUCUCCCGUUUGCCCGGAAAAUCCCUAGGGCUCGUCUGAGACACUGCCAAGCAUCGGCUGUAAACCCAAAUGAAUCUCUCCCUCCUCUUGGUGCCCGUGGCACCGAGCCGGCGUGAACACAAUCUCAUAUGACCCCAUAUUGUAAUUGCUCCCGCGUCUGUGGCCUCCGUCGGCGCAGGGUUUGGAAUAAUGAAAACUGCUCCCCUGUGGAUGCUGCAAAUCGUAAGGAUUAUCACACAGCCCAUGUGUGCUGGGCUCCGACUGGAUGCCGGGCGUGGUUUUAAUUCUUACAACGGCCCCACGAGCCAGGUUCUGUGAUCAUGCGUGGUUCAUGGACGAGGAGACCGAGGUACAGAAAGGCUGAGCAACUCGCCCGAGCUUUGCAGAGCUGCUAGGGAAAGACAGUCAGCCCCGAAGCCCAGGCAGGGUGGCCCCCUAGCCCUGUUCUCACCCCUUUUACUUUAUACCUUGUCCAUUUUCCCAAUCCCUGUCCUGUGACAAGCUGCCGUCGUUUUUUGUUUGUUUGUUUGUUUGUUUUUUAAAGUAAACUCUAAGCUGA
Molecule: long non-coding RNA, 2190 nt
Organism: Leopardus geoffroyi (Geoffroy's cat)
Lineage: Eukaryota; Metazoa; Chordata; Mammalia; Carnivora; Felidae
Exons: 2
Source: RefSeq, a predicted model, not a curated record